UGCAGUCGACGGUAACAGGAAGCAGCUUGCUGCUUUGCUGACGAGUGGCGGACGGGUGAGUAAUGUCUGGGAAACUGCCUGAUGGAGGGGGAUAACUACUGGAAACGGUAGCUAAUACCGCAUAACGUCGCAAGACCAAAGAGGGGGACCUUCGGGCCUCUUGCCAUCGGAUGUGCCCAGAUGGGAUUAGCUAGUAGGUGGGGUAACGGCUCACCUAGGCGACGAUCCCUAGCUGGUCUGAGAGGAUGACCAGCCACACUGGAACUGAGACACGGUCCAGACUCCUACGGGAGGCAGCAGUGGGGAAUAUUGCACAAUGGGCGCAAGCCUGAUGCAGCCAUGCCGCGUGUAUGAAGAAGGCCUUCGGGUUGUAAAGUACUUUCAGCGGGGAGGAAGGGAGUAAAGUUAAUACCUUUGCUCAUUGACGUUACCCGCAGAAGAAGCACCGGCUAACUCCGUGCCAGCAGCCGCGGUAAUACGGAGGGUGCAAGCGUUAAUCGGAAUUACUGGGCGUAAAGCGCACGCAGGCGGUUUGUUAAGUCAGAUGUGAAAUCCCCGGGCUCAACCUGGGAACUGCAUCUGAUACUGGCAAGCUUGAGUCUCGUAGAGGGGGGUAGAAUUCCAGGUGUAGCGGUGAAAUGCGUAGAGAUCUGGAGGAAUACCGGUGGCGAAGGCGGCCCCCUGGACGAAGACUGACGCUCAGGUGCGAAAGCGUGGGGAGCAAACAGGAUUAGAUACCCUG
RNAcentral lists this ribosomal RNA (742 nucleotides) under Escherichia coli. RNAcentral's name for it is "bacterial SSU rRNA". It matches the Rfam family "Bacterial small subunit ribosomal RNA", at positions 56 to 789 of the family's 1533-position model. The record is from RNAcentral. Lineage: Bacteria; Pseudomonadati; Pseudomonadota; Gammaproteobacteria; Enterobacterales; Enterobacteriaceae.